UCUGUUUAUUAAAAUUAAUGACUAAACCUAAAUAUUAAGAUCUAUUUAUUUAUUAUCUCAAAUAUAAUGAUAAAUCACUGCUUAAAUCGCUGAGUUAUUUGGUAUUUAUUAAAAUUAAUAAAAAAGCCUAAAUUCCAUACAAUAUGAAAAAUUAACAAAAUCACUUCCUAAAUAAUAGUAUAGAUACAAUUAAAUUUUCACUCUGUAGAUUAUAUUAGUAAAAAGCGUUAAUUCCAACCUCAACCAUUUUUCGUCUUGACUUUUCCUACCUGAAUUUAGAUACCAUGCUUAUUUAAUCCCAACCUAAUAUUUAUUUUAAAUUAACUACAUGAACUAUCAAAAUCAAACCGAAAUCAACUCUGACCAAAAUAAUAUUGGUGAACGUAAAAUCCAAAAAAACUAAAAUAUUUGAAAUUCAAAAAUAAAACUAAACCCUUAAAAAUAAAAAUAAAACCCGAGAAAAAACUAUAAAUAUCCGAAACUCAAAAAUAUAGUUGAAACCUCGAGAAAAAUAAAAAUAAAAUUAAAGGAUAGAUUCAAAUGACUAGAAAUUUUAAAUAUAUUAAGUACCAAAAUAUACCCAAAAUAUGCCAAAAAAUCACGGAAAAAAAGCCAAAGACUUAAAAUAUACCUUGAUACCAAAAAAUAAGGAAUACAUUAGACUAUUCAUUUAUUGAUAGAGUAUAAAAGCCAUAUGUGAACCUAUUUCAUGUAUUCUCGAAUUUUUGGGUAGCUUUUAUGUUAUGGUUUCUAACCAAAAAGUGAUCGUAUACCCGAAUAAUAGUAAUAAUAUAUAUUAUAAAUUUUUUGUUUCAUAAUUCUUUUUUCAUUUUUGGACUUUCAAAUCAAAUUUUUGUUUUUUGGAUAUUUAUUUUAAAUAUUGGGUAUUUAUUGUUUGUCACAUACUUUCACGUAUAUUUUGAUUUUGUGUAUAUUUUGAUACUAACUUUUUAGUG
RNAcentral lists this long non-coding RNA (956 nucleotides) under Brassica rapa (field mustard). RNAcentral describes it as "long non-coding RNA (BRAP_LNC004780)". The record is from RNAcentral. Lineage: Eukaryota; Viridiplantae; Streptophyta; Magnoliopsida; Brassicales; Brassicaceae.